GACGGAGGAUGCAAGCGUUAUCCGGAAUGAUUGGGCGUAAAGCGUCCGCAGGUGGCAGUUCAAGUCUGCUGUCAAAGACCGGGGCUUAACUUCGGAAAGGCAGUGGAAACUGAACAGCUAGAGUAUGGUAGGGGCAGAGGGAAUUCCUGGUGUAGCGGUGAAAUGCGUAGAGAUCAGGAGGAACACCGGUGGCGAAGGCGGGUCUCUGGGCCGAUACUGACGCUGAGGAGCGAAAGCGUGGGGAGCGAACAGG
This 253-nucleotide ribosomal RNA is filed under the name uncultured bacterium. RNAcentral's name for it is "partial 16S ribosomal RNA". It matches the Rfam family "Bacterial small subunit ribosomal RNA", at positions 524 to 776 of the family's 1533-position model. The record is from RNAcentral.